This 449-nucleotide ribosomal RNA is filed under the name uncultured bacterium. RNAcentral describes it as "partial 16S ribosomal RNA". It matches the Rfam family "Bacterial small subunit ribosomal RNA", at positions 29 to 523 of the family's 1533-position model. The record is from RNAcentral.
AAUGAACGCUGACGGCAGGCCUAACACAUGCAAGUCGAACGGAUCCUUCGGGAUUAGUGGCGGACGGGUGAGUAACGCGUGGGAACAUACCCUUUGGUACGGAAUAGCCUCGGGAAACUGGGAGUAAUACCGUAUGUGGUCGAGAGACGAAAGAUUUAUCGCCAAAGGAUUGGCCCGCGUUGGAUUAGGUAGUUGGUGGGGUAAUGGCCUACCAAGCCGACGAUCCAUAGCUGGUUUGAGAGGAUGAUCAGCCACACUGGGACUGAGACACGGCCCAGACUCCUACGGGAGGCAGCAGUGGGGAAUCUUAGACAAUGGGGGAAACCCUGAUCUAGCCAUGCCGCGUGAUCGAUGAAGGCCUUAGGGUUGUAAAGAUCUUUUAGGUGGGAAGAUAAUGACUGUACCACCAGAAGAAGCCCCGGCUAACUCCGUGCCAGCAGCAGCCGCGG